This 254-nucleotide ribosomal RNA is filed under the name uncultured bacterium. RNAcentral describes it as "partial 16S ribosomal RNA". It matches the Rfam family "Bacterial small subunit ribosomal RNA", at positions 524 to 777 of the family's 1533-position model. The record is from RNAcentral.
GACAGAGGCCUCAAGCGUUAGGCGGAAUCACUGGGCUUAAAGCGUGUGUAGGCGGAUCGUUAAGUGUCUUGUGAAAUCCCACGGCUCAACCGUGGAACUGCUGGGUAUACUGCCUGUCUUGAGCCAGCUAGGGGCGAGCGGAACAGACGGUGGAGCGGUGAAAUGCGUAGAUAUCGUCUGGAACGCCGAAGGUGAAAACAGCUCGCUGGGGCUGUGCUGACGCUGAGACACGAAAGCCAGGGGAGCGAACGGGG